AUGACGUGGACGCGUGUUUUCACGCCCGCCAUUUUCCCGUCAUCAGAUUCUGGCACGCCCGGUAUGGAGGGCCAAGUGCAGCAGUUUGUGACCCUUCGCUUCGGUGACCUUUGGCUUGAUGUGCCAAUUGGUCCUAUUGUGACCUCACUAAGUGAAAGUUGGAAGACUACUGCUGCAUCUCCAGUUGUACCAGAUCAAGAAGAGGUCACUUCUCCACCAAUGGAGGGGUUCACACCUAUUUUGUCAAAGUCUGCAAAGAGGAAAAUGAGGGCUGCUAGAAAGAGG
This 285-nucleotide ribosomal RNA is filed under the name Triticum aestivum (bread wheat). RNAcentral's name for it is "partial small subunit ribosomal RNA". The record is from RNAcentral. Lineage: Eukaryota; Viridiplantae; Streptophyta; Magnoliopsida; Poales; Poaceae.